Molecule: unclassified non-coding RNA, 368 nt
Filed under: Hevea brasiliensis (rubber tree)
Lineage: Eukaryota; Viridiplantae; Streptophyta; Magnoliopsida; Malpighiales; Euphorbiaceae
Source: RNAcentral
UUAUGGUCGAUCUCCUGGGUAUUAUGUCAUAUGUUAUGAGGUAAUUUUUAAUUUUAUGCAAUAAUUUCAUAUAUAGUUACUUAGUCUCAAUCUUCUGUAGGGCAAGGAAUAUGGGGGAGUGAUUCCGCCACCAACCCGCUCGUUAUAAUAUAGAUGUGGAUAUGAUAUAUUACUUAAAUUCUGAUUACAAAUUCAAGACUAAGUUUAAUUGAGUAUUAUUUUUUAUGCUUUAAAUUGGUUUGAUUUAGACUUGAAAUACUUGAUUUUGGCUCACUAUUAAAAAUUACUUAAGUUUUAGGAUAAUGACAUUCAAGUGACCUAAAUAUUUUAGACUUAGAAGUUUAUAUUUGAUUUUUUUUUCUUUGAAG